Molecule: ribosomal RNA, 254 nt
Filed under: uncultured bacterium
Lineage: Bacteria
Description: partial 16S ribosomal RNA
Rfam family: Bacterial small subunit ribosomal RNA
Source: RNAcentral
UACGGGGGGAGCAAGCGUUGUUCGGAUUUACUGGGCGUAAAGGGCGGGUAGGCGGCCACCGCAAGUCAGUUGUGAAAUCUCUGGGCUUAACCCAGAAAGGUCAACUGAUACUGCGGGGCUAGAGUGCAGAAGGGGCAACUGGAAUUCUCGGUGUAGCGGUGAAAUGCGCAGAUAUUAGGAAGAACACCGGUGGCGAAGGCGGCUCUCUGGAACGGUACUGACGCUGAGACGCGAAAGCGUGGGGAGCGAACAGG